UAGCAUUUAGUGUAUGGCUAAUUUUCCCCACUACUGAGGCAAGGCUCUUCUUGGUUCUUUUACAAAUGCCCGAUCAUGAGGUUUUUCACUCUGGCUGUUGGGACCAGGACAAGGCACUGCUCCUGGCACAAGGAGGAGGAUGACUAUCUCUUUGAUGAUCCUCUGCCAAUACCUUUAAGGCACAAAGUUCCAUACCAGGAAACUCUUCACCCUGAGGUAUUUUCAAUGACUGUAGUAUCAGAAAAGCAGCCUGAAAAACUGAGACAAACCCCAGGAUGCUGCAGAGCGGAG
This 291-nucleotide small RNA is filed under the name Pongo abelii (Sumatran orangutan). RNAcentral's name for it is "processed transcript". The record is from RNAcentral. Lineage: Eukaryota; Metazoa; Chordata; Mammalia; Primates; Hominidae.